This 300-nucleotide ribosomal RNA is filed under the name uncultured Bacillus sp. RNAcentral's name for it is "bacterial SSU rRNA". The stretch from base 52 to 300 matches the Rfam family "Bacterial small subunit ribosomal RNA", at positions 547 to 795 of the family's 1533-position model. The record is from RNAcentral. Lineage: Bacteria; Bacillati; Bacillota; Bacilli; Caryophanales; Bacillaceae.
GUUAAUGCAUGGCACGGGGCGGGGUGAAUAGGGAGGGGGAAAGUGUUGGCGGGAUGUAUUGGGCGUAAAGGGUGUGUAGGGGGGCAUACAGGGCAGCUGGGAAAACUCGAGGCUCAACCUAGAGACGUCGGUUGAAACCGUAUGGCUAGAGGCCGGAAGAGGAGAGUGGAAUUCCCGGUGUAGCGGUGAAAUGCGCAGAUAUCGGGAAGAACACCCGUGGCGAAGGCGGCUCUCUGGGACGGUACUGACGCUGAGACGCGAAAGCGUGGGGAGCGAACAGGAUUAGAUACCCGGGUAGUC